RNAcentral lists this long non-coding RNA (652 nucleotides) under Rattus norvegicus (Norway rat). Its description in RNAcentral is "long non-coding RNA NONRATT018974". Lineage: Eukaryota; Metazoa; Chordata; Mammalia; Rodentia; Muridae. The record is from RNAcentral.
ACAGACCCACUCGGUCAAGGGUCGGAGUGACGUACAUGGAAAACAAAGCCUACGGGGACAGGCUCAAGCCGCAGACAGCAGCAAGUAAAGCGCCUCGGCCCUGAAGCAUGGCAGCUAUCCCUUCCAGCGGCUCGCUCGUGGCUACCCAUGACUACUAUCGGCGACGUCUGGGCUCCUCGUCCAGCAACAGCUCCGGCGGAAGUGCAGAGUACCCGGGGGACGCCGUGCCCCACUCCCCGGGUCUUCCCAAAGCUGACUCGGGCCACUGGUGGGCCAGCUUCUUUUUCGGGAAAUCCACCCUCCCAUUCAUGGCCGCAGUGUUGGAGUCUCCUGAGCACUCGGCAGAAUCCCCCCAGGCCUCCAGAAGCCCGAUCUCCUGUGGCCUGGCUCCUGAAACCAUGAAGAAGCAGCCAGUCAUGCAUCCUAGCCAGACCAACAGCAGGGCCCCGUCCUGACCUGUCAGAAUCAGCAGACUGCCCAAGUUUAAGUGGUGCUAGACCAGAGCCCACCCUCUCAACCCUCCCUGUAAACUAGGAAGGCUAAACAGACAUGAGCAGGAGCUGGAGAGAGCCUAUUAGUUUACAGCACUGAGCUUUCCUGACCCCAUAACUGUGUCUUCCACAAAGCAGAAAAUAAACUCACAGCAGCCAUC